This 27-nucleotide non-coding RNA is filed under the name Homo sapiens (human). The record is from RNAcentral. Lineage: Eukaryota; Metazoa; Chordata; Mammalia; Primates; Hominidae.
UGAAGCUGUCUUUCAGAAACUGGGUCU